Molecule: ribosomal RNA, 709 nt
Filed under: uncultured bacterium
Lineage: Bacteria
Description: bacterial SSU rRNA
Rfam family: Bacterial small subunit ribosomal RNA
Source: RNAcentral
ACCGGCGCAAGGGUGCGUAACGCGUGAGCAACAUGCCCGUAUCAGGGGGAUAAUCCAGGGAAACUUGGUCUAAUACCCCAUAGUAAGUUUCAGAGGCAUCUUUGAGAUUUUAAAGCUUUGGUGGAUACGGAUUGGCUCGCGUGACAUUAGCUAGAUGGUAAGGUAACGGCUUACCAUGGCUACGAUGUCUAGGGGUUCUGAGAGGAAGGUCCCCCACACUGGAACUGAGACACGGUCCAGACUCCUACGGGAGGCAGCAGUGAGGAAUAUUGGACAAUGGAUGGAAAUCUGAUCCAGCCAUGCCGCGUGCAGGAAGACGGCCCUAUGGGUUGUAAACUGCUUUUGUAUGGGAGCAAUAAGAACUACGUGUAGUUUGAUGAGAGUACCAUACGAAUAAGCACCGGCUAACUCCGUGCCAGCAGCCGCGGUAAUACGGAGGGUGCAAGCGUUAUCCGGAUUUAUUGGGUUUAAAGGGUGCGUAGGCGGUUUGAUAAGUCAGCGGUGAAAUAUUUCAGCUUAACUGGAAGGGUGCCGUUGAUACUGUCAGGCUUGAAUUUAGUUGCUGUGGGUGGAAUGUGUGGUGUAGCGGUGAAAUGCAUAGAUAUCACACAGAAUAUCGAUUGCGAAGGCAGCUCACAAAGCUAAUAUUGACGCUGAUGCACGAAAGUGUGGGGAUCAAACAGGAUUAGAUACCCUGGUAGUCCACACU